This is an RNA transcript of Medicago truncatula (barrel medic), 2180 nucleotides long. It is a transcript of the gene named DEAD-box ATP-dependent RNA helicase 20, with no coding region annotated. NCBI's taxonomy places the organism in Eukaryota, Viridiplantae, Streptophyta, Magnoliopsida, Fabales, Fabaceae. The transcript is spliced from 14 exons. The record is from RefSeq and is a predicted model, not a curated record.
UGUUAUCAGCAUCGUUAUCAUUUAUCAACACACUCCACCUCCUCACUCUCACUACCUUUCACUUCUUAUUCUAUUCAUUUUCUGUUAUCAUCACAAAACCUCUCGAGAAUUUAGAUUAACCAAAAACGAUGUCGUAUGUUCCUCCACACUUGAGAAACGCGGCGAGUUCAACCACCGUGUCCACCAACACCGGAACCCUAGACAACCACCACCACCACCAUCAUCACAACAACAACCUCGCAUUCUCAAACUCACAUUCCAACUCUCCUUCUCUCUUCAAUGCCUCUCGCCGUACCUCCGCUGCUCCUCCGUCGUCAAGGACCAUCGCCGCCGUUCCUGAUACUGUCUUCCCUAAAUGGCAACCUUCUGAACGCGUUUCUCGCAUGAACCCUGACCAGAUUGAAGAGGUCCGCCAUCGGCUAAAUCUUGAUGUUACUGUUUCGUCUGACUCUCUUGCUGCACCUGCACCUAUAGAAUCAUUUAAUGAUAUGUGUUUGCAUCCAAGUAUCAUGAAGGACAUUGCCUAUCAUGAUUACACCAGACCAACUUCUAUCCAGGCACAGGCCAUGCCUAUUGCUCUCAGUGGAAGGGAUCUUUUGGGUUGUGCUGAAACUGGUAGCGGGAAGACUGCAGCUUUCACAAUUCCUAUGAUACAGCAUUGCUUGGCCCAACCUCCAAUUCGGCGCGGAGACGGUCCCUUGGCAUUAGUUUUGGCUCCUACUAGAGAACUUGCUCAACAAAUAGAAAAAGAGGUCCAAGCUUUUAGCAGAUCUCUCGAGUCAUUUAAAACUGCCAUAGUUGUCGGUGGAACUAACAUCGAAAAGCAGAGGUCUGAACUAAGAGCGGGAGUUGAAAUAGCAGUUGCCACCCCUGGAAGGUUCAUUGACCACUUACAACAAGGCAACACUUCCCUCUCUAGAAUUUCUUAUGUUGUUCUAGAUGAGGCAGAUAGAAUGCUUGAUAUGGGUUUUGAACCGCAGAUAAGAGAGAUAAUGAGAAGUCUUCCCGAGAAGCAUCAAACACUGCUGUUCAGUGCAACUAUGCCUGUUGAGAUCGAAGCAUUGUCAAAGGAGUACUUAGCUAGCCCCGUGCAAGUUAAGGUGGGAAAAGUGAGCAGCCCAACAACUAAUGUUUCACAAACUCUUGUGAAGGUUUCUGAAAAUGAGAAGAUUGAUCGACUUCUAGAUUUGCUUGUAGAGGAGGCAUCACAGGCUGAAAAGUGUGGCCAUCCAUUUCCAUUGACAAUUGUGUUUGUUGAGAGAAAGACAAGGUGUGAUGAAGUUGCUGAAGCAUUAAUUGCUCAAGGAUUAUCUGCAGUUUCUUUGCAUGGUGGCCGCAGUCAAAGUGAAAGAGAGGCUGCCUUGCAUGAUUUUCGGAGUAGCUCAACGAGCAUUUUGGUUGCCACCGAUGUUGCAUCUCGGGGCUUGGAUGUCACAGGAGUGUCACACGUCAUCAAUCUUGAUCUUCCAAAGCUUCAGUUAUGGCUGCCUCAAUUAUAGACCACAGAAGAUUAUAUACACCGAAUUGGAAGGACAGGGCGUGCAGGAUCAACUGGCAUAGCCACCUCCUUUUAUACUGAUCGUGACAUGUUUCUUGUGUCAAAUAUAAGGAAAGCCAUAGCUGAUGCUGAAUCUGGGAACGCUGUGGCAUUUGCUACUGGGAAGGUUGCCAGAAGGAAGGAGAAAGAAGCAGCAGCUGCACACAAAGAGGCAAACAUUGCUUUAUCGAAACACCUUGGACCGGGAGCUGCUUCAAUUAACAUAGAAGAUAAGUAUAGAUUCAUGAUUGCUGCCUCAAACAGUAAAGGAGAGGGCACGGCGGAUAGUGCAUGGGAUGAUUGAAGUUUUCGAUAUGCCUCCCAUACAUUUGAUUAAUGACAGUUGCUAACUGUCAUCUAUAGGUUUGUUGUUUGGCAGAUACUGGAGAUGGACGAGUUAAGUUUGCAAUGUCUGCGUACUGUUUCACACGUUGUAGCUAGCACACUGGUAAUGAACGAGUAGCUUCCUAGACACAAUUUGUAGAGUCGUCAUGUAGGUAAUGCAUCUCGUGUAAUCAUAGAAACAAAAGUUUCAUUAAAUUUGUGUCGCGUCAAAUCUAUUAGUUAAAUUUGUAGAGUUGUCAAGUUUUGGUGUAACGAUGGUUUCAUUUCAUUCAAUUUUAUCUUUUGUUUAAACUAUUCA